This 274-nucleotide ribosomal RNA is filed under the name uncultured bacterium. Its description in RNAcentral is "partial 16S ribosomal RNA". It matches the Rfam family "Bacterial small subunit ribosomal RNA", at positions 523 to 796 of the family's 1533-position model. The record is from RNAcentral.
AUACGGAGGGUGCAAGCGUUACUCGGAAUCACUGGGCGUAAAGCGCGCGCAGGCGGGCUGAUAAGUUGGAUGUGAAAGCCUACGGCUCAACCGUAGAACUGCAUCCAAAACUGUCAGGCUAGAGUGUGGGAGAGGAAGAUGGAAUUAGUUGUGUAGGGGUAAAAUCCGUAGAGAUAACUAGGAAUACCAAAAGCGAAGGCAAUCUUCUGGAACACUACUGACGCUCAGGCGCGAAGGCGUGGGGAGCAAACAGGAUUAGAAACCCCGGUAGUCC